UGACAUAUUUUUGUUCCUCUGCACUUGAGC
RNAcentral lists this non-coding RNA (30 nucleotides) under Rattus norvegicus (Norway rat). Lineage: Eukaryota; Metazoa; Chordata; Mammalia; Rodentia; Muridae. The record is from RNAcentral.